This 490-nucleotide unclassified non-coding RNA is filed under the name Hevea brasiliensis (rubber tree). The record is from RNAcentral. Lineage: Eukaryota; Viridiplantae; Streptophyta; Magnoliopsida; Malpighiales; Euphorbiaceae.
GUCUACAUAGCAUUCUUGCGGUUUAUGGGUGAUGACAAUGAGGCAAAGAACUACAGCUACAGCCUUGAGGUGGGCGGGAAUGGAAGGAAGAUGAUAUGGCAAGGAGUGCCUAGGAGCAUAAGGGACAGCCAUCGGAAGGUUCGUGACAGUUUUGAUGGUCUCAUCAUUCAGCGCAAUAUGGCUCUUUUCUUCUCUGGUGGAGACCGGAAGGAAUUGAAACUUAGGGUGACUGGUAGGAUUUGGAAAGAGCAGUGAGGAGAUAUUUUUACGUUCUAUUCGAUAACCAGAGCAAGUAGAUUAGUUGUGUAGCAUCUCAAGUCUUAUCUGAUCAUGUAUUUUUUGAGCUGUAAGGAGGCAAACUCUUUUUGCUUCUCCAUGCAUCAAAUACAUGAGUGGAAGACGUAACUCUUAUGCCUGCAACUAUAGUAUUUAUCUUAAUAGAUUUAGAUAUGCUAUUCUCCGCUAACUUGAGUAGUUAUUGAUAGACCAC